Molecule: ribosomal RNA, 253 nt
Filed under: uncultured bacterium
Lineage: Bacteria
Description: partial 16S ribosomal RNA
Rfam family: Bacterial small subunit ribosomal RNA
Source: RNAcentral
CACGGGGGGAGCAAGCGUUGUUCGGAAUCACUGGGCGUAAAGGGCGUGUAGGCGGUCAAGUAAGUGGAAUGUGAAAUCCCUCGGCUUACCCGAGGACCUGCAUCCCAAACUGCUUGGCUUGAGUAUGGGAGAGGAUGAGGGAAUUCCUGGUGUAGCGGUGAAAUGCGUAGAUAUCACGAGGAACACCGGUGGCGAAAGCGCUCAUCUGGCCCAAUACUGACGCUGAGGCGCGAAAGCUAGGGGAGCAAACGGG